Molecule: small nucleolar RNA, 84 nt
Organism: Mustela lutreola (European mink)
Lineage: Eukaryota; Metazoa; Chordata; Mammalia; Carnivora; Mustelidae
Source: RefSeq, a predicted model, not a curated record
UCCCAGUGAUGCUGUUCCUAUAGACCGUUUCUGACCCUCCUCUGUGGGCUUGGUGCGGGGGGAGAGAAGAGCCAGGGUCCGAGA